AAUGCAAAAAAACUGGUAAAUGGUCAGACCCAUUAUCUUUCUCUCCCAUCAUUUAUUAUCCAUCCAACCAAUCAUAAUAGCUGUCACUACCAUCUCUCUUAUUUCCCAACCACUCUUAUUUAUCUCACUACGGUCUCUCUCAGUUUCUGGUGCUGCCAUCUGAAAUUCUCCAGACCGUCGGUGCUGUCGUCUCUACAAACCGUCGGUGUUGCCGUCUGAAAUUAUCCAAACCGCCGGUGCUACCAUCUAAAAUUCUCUAAAUCCACGGUAUGGGUAUUUGGAAUUUCUCCAAAUCUACGGUGCGGGUCUCUGGUCAUGUUAACCUCUUAAACAUAGCUUAAGGAAACAUCCUAUUAGUAAUUUACCUAAUUCGUAAAAUGUGUAGAUAUUGACCUGUGUAUGCAUUAAAUCAACGUAUCUAUCUUUCGUCUUUGGAGUGUUUUAUAUUCUACUAUUGUCAAGAUUUCAACUGCUACCAUCUAAAAUUCUCUAAAUCCACGGUAUGGGUAUUUGGAAUUUCUCCAAAUCUACGGUGCGGGUCUCUGGUCAUGUUAACCUCUUAAACAUAGCUUAAGGAAACAUCCUAUUAGUAAUUUACCUAAUUCGUAAAAUGUGUAGAUAUUGACCUGUGUAUGCAUUAAAUCAACGUAUCUAUCUUUCGUCUUUGGAGUGUUUUAUAUUCUACUAUUGUCAAGAUUUCAAUUUUUCUCCAUCUUCCGUGUGCACAUUUUCUUGUUCAAUUGCACUUACUCUCUAUUUUAUGGAGUUCGAAUCUGACUUUGGGCCUGUUGAAUUGCACUGUAUGCUAAAGUUUGCUCCAGGGCAGGAAGGAACAGAGGUAUAUGCCAUAGUUGCAAACAGCCGAAUCGCUCGUUGGAAUGUUCCAGAAAGAGAAGAUGCCCAAAAUGUAGUGAGGGGUUUGUGAAGUGGAUGGAGGUGGAAAAAAAUAGUGCAAACAAAGGACUGAUGAUCCAUUGUUGUACUUGUUACUAUAGGCAUUUUAAGUGGUGUGAUGUUUCGCCAUAUGACAACGAGUUAGUGCAUUACGAAGGUGAAUUAAGUUCAACGAUCCAACUAUUGACAUGUCAAUUGUGUUCCAAAAAUGUGCUAAUAUAGCCGACGAAAAUUACUAUUUGGAGAUUUUCCUCAACAUAACUCAAGGAAAACGAGAUCUGGAUGACGAGGAGAAAGCGAAAAAAAGGGUGUAAAUUAAAUCGUGUAUUGUUGAUAUAAUGUGACGAUAUUACAUUAGAUGUGGUGUUGAAUUUGGAUGUAAUCGAAUUGUCGUAACGUUUGUUGUCUCGUAGUCUGUAUUCACUUGUUUAAUUAGGGGAAAAAAACUAUGUACUCAAGGAAGCUUACUAUUUUUGCGCAAUUUUUAUCGAAUGAAUUGUGAUUGUUCUGUGUUUGCGGCAUUCCCUAUCUAGAACAGAACCAGUUACUAAAUUAGUUGAUUUUGUGGGUAUAUAUAGAGGGUGCAUUAUGUUUUAUUUUUGGUGAAUGGAAUGAGAACAUACAGGUAGGUAUUCGGGUUUUAUCUAGCAAAAAUUAUGUUGCUAAGGAUACUAAUUUUGGUAUUGGGGCUCGGGCUGCAAUGCUAUCUGGUGUUAAUGAACUUGCCGAAGCUGUAAGGGUGACAAUGGGACCAAAGAUAACUAGGCGUUUACAACCCUCCUUUCUCUUUACUUCUAUUAACAUUAUAAUGCACGAACAAACUCUAACUUGAAGAGUGUAAGAAAAAUAUGCCAGAAAAUAUUAGUGAACAUUAACUUCAAAUAUUUUUGGCUAUUUUGAUACUUGUAGUUGUGUGUGGGUACCCCAAUUAAAUGGUGGGUGCUGGUUAUAUAUAAUUAGGUAAAUAUAUUUUAAGUUCUAAAAUUCUUUUGAGUCUCCAAGUGAAUUGUUCCGGAUUUGUAGUGACUGCUAUUUUAUGAUGCUUGUUCACGAUUUUUGUAACGACAUCUUAACAAAGGGCUUGAGGCUAAGUGGCUCUUCUUCUUCACAAUUGUUGCAAGGGCACAAUGUCAUUAUUGAGCAAAGCCAUGGAAAUCCCAAGGUCACCAAGGAUGGUGUCACAGUAGCCAAAAGCAUCAAUUUUAUGGAUAAGGCAAAAAAUAUUGGUGCAGAUCUUGUGAAACAAGUUGCUAGCGCAACUAGUAAGGUUACUGACGAUGGUAAUCUAUUUGCUUAAGCCUUCAUUUCUAUAUUUACAAAUCACAGUUCCAUAAAGAUUGGCUUUUGCAUAAGAAUAUGAAGAUACCAACCAAAAUCAAUAUUUCUUGUCCAGUACAUCUACUUGCAUUUAUUGAAUGUGCCCAAACCAAAUUAUAUGAAAACAUAUUUUCAAACUAGCAACAUAUUUGUUGCUCUAUGAAAUGAAGCUUCAAACCAUAUCACCUCAAUGAUAAACCAUCUUCAAACAUAAGACUUCAAGAGAGAAAUGAACUAAAGAUAAAUUCAUUACUGCAAAUAAUAACAUAUUUCAAUAAAGUUGACAAAAAGCAUCCAACAUGCUACAAUUACAAACCACAUUUCCAGCAUACCAUUUACUCGCACAACCACAUUUACAAUACUUUUCUCCAUCUUCCGUGUGCACAUUUUCUUGUUCAAUUGCACUUACUCUCUAUUUUAUGGAGUUCGAAUCUGACUUUGGGCCUGUUGAAUUGCACUGUAUGCUAAAGUUUGCUCCAGGGCAGGAAGGAACAGAGGUAUAUGCCAUAGUUGCAAACAGCCGAAUCGCUCGUUGGAAUGUUCCAGAAAGAGAAGAUGCCCAAAAUGUAGUGAGGGGUUUGUGAAGUGGAUGGAGGUGGAAAAAAAUAGUGCAAACAAAGGACUGAUGAUCCAUUGUUGUACUUGUUACUAUAGGCAUUUUAAGUGGUGUGAUGUUUCGCCAUAUGACAACGAGUUAGUGCAUUACGAAGGUGAAUUAAGUUCAACGAUCCAACUAUUGACAUGUCAAUUGUGUUCCAAAAAUGUGCUAAUAUAGCCGACGAAAAUUACUAUUUGGAGAUUUUCCUCAACAUAACUCAAGGAAAACGAGAUCUGGAUGACGAGGAGAAAGCGAAAAAAAGGGUGUAAAUUAAAUCGUGUAUUGUUGAUAUAAUGUGAUGAUAUUACAUUAGAUGUGGUGUUGAAUUUGGAUGUAAUCGAAUUGUCGUAACGUUUGUUGUCUCGUAGUCUGUAUUCACUUGUUUAAUUAGGGGAAAAAAACUAUGUACUCAAGGAAGCUUACUAUUUUUGCGCAAUUUUUAUCGAAUGAAUUGUGAUUGUUCUGUGUUUGCGGCAUUCCCUAUCUAGAACAGAACCAGUUACUAAAUUAGUUGAUUUUGUGGGUAUAUAUAGAGGGUGCAUUAUGUUUUAUUUUUGGUGAAUGGAAUGAGAACAUACAGGUAGGUAUUCGG
This 3401-nucleotide long non-coding RNA is filed under the name Olea europaea (common olive). RNAcentral describes it as "long non-coding RNA (OEUR_LNC000195)". The record is from RNAcentral. Lineage: Eukaryota; Viridiplantae; Streptophyta; Magnoliopsida; Lamiales; Oleaceae.